CCUCAAUAGUGAAGAGAGUUUAGACGACAAUACGGUAGUUCAGCGAUCUGAUUAUCCGUUUUGCAUAAUUGUAAAGUUCUCGUUCUUUGUUGUGUUCUUCGUUGUAGGUAAAGCCCUUCCUGGGAAACUUAUUCUACUAUUGUGGAGUUAUAUUAAUUACUAUUUGGGACAUCAGGUCUUUAUUUCGGGCGUGAAGCAGAUAUCACUUCGUGGGACUUUCCUGGUAAAUAUUUUUCCCUUCAGAGUUCAGAGGUUGUGCUGGCAACACAUCAAAAGGAACUAACCCUACUGGUUGAGGAUAGUCAAAGGUAUCAACCCCACUGGUAUAAUCAAAGGAAUUAACUGUUAACUCCUUACUACUUUGUCUUUCUGAAAAAAACUUGAAACUUCACGAGGUGGACCUUCAUGAAUUAAGAUUGUCACGGCUGGGCGUCUCCAGUUAGUCUGUGUGUGAAGGCUGCCCAGGGAAAUUGAAGCAAGUCACCAGCUUUUAACAUCAGCAUGUGGUCGCCGUAGGUAAAGAAACACCCAACAAUGAUAGAUGAAGGUCUUCCUUACUUGAGAGGAAUGAAGCCAUUUUGGUUCUCUAGGAAAAAGGGGAAUAAAAAGAAAAGAACCUUCUUUUGAGUAUCGUGAAAAUACAACAGUUGCCAU
Molecule: long non-coding RNA, 654 nt
Organism: Macrobrachium nipponense
Lineage: Eukaryota; Metazoa; Arthropoda; Malacostraca; Decapoda; Palaemonidae
Exons: 4
Source: RefSeq, a predicted model, not a curated record